UACGAAGGGUGCAAGCGUUACUCGGAAUUACUGGGCGUAAAGCGUGCGUAGGUGGUUUGUUAAGUCUGUUGUGAAAGCCCCGGGCUCAACCUGGGAAUGGCAAUGGAUACUGGCAGGCUAGAGUGCGGUAGAGGGUAGUGGAAUUCCCGGUGUAGCGGUGAAAUGCGUAGAGAUCGGGAGGAACGCCGAAGGUGAAACAGGCUGCUGGGUUGCGCCGACGCUGAGACACGAAAGCCAGGGAGCAAACAGG
RNAcentral lists this ribosomal RNA (250 nucleotides) under uncultured bacterium. RNAcentral's name for it is "partial 16S ribosomal RNA". It matches the Rfam family "Bacterial small subunit ribosomal RNA", at positions 524 to 776 of the family's 1533-position model. The record is from RNAcentral.